UCAGGAUCUCUAAGAGAUAUCUGCUCACGCAUGUUCACGGCAACAUUAUUCACAAGAGCCAAAACAUGGAAACAACCUAAAUGGUCAACAGAUGAAUGAAUAAAGAAAAAGUGAUAUAUACCUACAAUGGAAUAUUAUUCAGCCUUUAAAAAGAACAGCUGAAUAAUAUUUGCCAUUUACCCAACAUGGAUGGACCUGGAAGGCAUUAUGCUGAGUGAAAUAAGCCAGACAAAGGACAAAUACUUUCUGUUUUCACUUAUAUUAGGUAUCUAAAAUAGUCAAACUCAGGAGUUCCCAUUAUGCCUCAGCAGUAAUGAACCCAACUAGUAUCCAUGAGGACACGGAUUUAAUCCCUGGCCUUGCUUGGUGGGUUAAGGAUCUGGUGUCGCCGUGAGCUGUGGUAUAGGUCUCAGACACGGCUCGGAUCCCACGUUGCUGUGGCUGUGGCGUAGGCUGGCAGCUGGAGGGCCAAUUCAACUCCUAGCCUGGGAACCUCAUAUGCUGCAGGUGUGGCCCUAAAAAGCAAAAAAAUAAACAAAUAAAAUAGUUAAAUUUAUAGAAGCAGAAAGUAGAACAGCGGUUACCUGGAGACGGGAAGAAAGGAAAACAGGGACUUGUUAUUCAAUGUGUUAAGUUAUAGUUAUGCAAGAUUAUUCAGAUCUAGGGAUGUGCUGUACAGCAUGGUGCCCAUAAACAUAUAUAUGCAAGGGGUUUUGUCUAUCAGUUAUACUUCAAUAAAGCUGAAAAGGAGAUGGCAGGGGAGUAGAGAAGAGGGAGAAGAAUAGAGGGGAGAGGAGAGGGGAGAAAAGACCAAAAAAAAAAAAAGAAAAAAGAAAUGGUCCAGAGAGCUAGAUAGAUGUGGAGAUCCUCAGUGAAAGAUAAAACCAGGGGCAGAGAUGAAAGCAUUCAGAAAGACUAUAUAAGUGAGAAGAGUGGUAGGCCAAGAAAGAGAUGAAAGAAGACCCUUCUCUGAAAUGGGAAGAGGAAAAAGAGCUUGCAAAGGAAUCUGAGAAUGAUCAAAUAGGUGAGGGGAGGACCCAGAAGGAAGCCAUGUUAGAAAGUAAGGGGUACAUUAUAUCAAGUUGCAAGAACGGAAGUGACCAACGGUACUGGAUGCUGCAGAGGGCUCAAGAUGAAAAGUUAAAAAUAAUUCAGUGAUGGAUCAGCAUGAGGGAUCUUACUGCACUGAUAAAACUGGAUUAUGCUGAUGGUUGUACAGCUCAAUAAAUUUACUGAAAAACCACUCAAUUGUACACUUGAAAUAAGUCAAUUUUAUUCAUUUUAUGGUAUGUUAACUAUUCCUCAAUAAAGUUGUUUACAUUUUUAAAGUUCUGAAAAUCUUUCACACCUAUAUAAAAAAAAGACACUGUAUCCAUAUUUCACACACCAUAUGCAAAGGGAAUUCCAGGUCGAUUAAUGAUCUAAAUAUUGAAGCAAAAUGUAAAAGCUUUUAGAAUAUAACAACUUCAUGGGCUCAGGUUAGGAAAAGCAUGAAUCAAGCUUAGCUGUCUUGAAUAAAGAAGGUAUUCAGCAAAUGCCUACAACAAAUCAUUCCACAGAUAGGUGAAUAAUGUGACAGGAUUCUCAGUAUUCCACAGAACUUGGAGUAGAAUAAAGCCUCUCUUCCUUGCCUCAACAGAAACAAAAGCUGGCAAUUCCUACAUGGCUCAGCGGUUAACGAGCCCAACUAGCAUCCAUAAGGUCAUGGGUUCAAUCCCUGGCCUUGAUCAGUGGGUUAAGGAUCUGGCGUUGACGAGAGCUGUGGUGUAGGUCACAGACAUGGCUCGGAUCCUGCGUGGCUAUGGCUGUGGUGUAGGCUGGCAGCUACAGCUCUGAUUGGACCCCUGGCCUGGGAACCUCCGUAUAUCUCAGGGGCAGGCCUAAAAAGACCAAAAAAAAAAAAAGAGCUUCAUCAUUUUUAACAGAUUGUGACCACAGACUGCAGCUACAUAAUGUAGACAUGGUACCUUUGCAGAAUAUACUCAUCUGUAUAGUCAAAUAUUAAGUGCCUGUGACUUGCAUGACUUUUUAACAACAACUAUAAGGCAAAAUGAAUUAAGAUAGGUCUCAAAGUCUACAAAAGAAACAAAUUCCCCCUGAAUAAUUAAAUAACAAUAAAUUCUAAAGUUAUCCUAAACAGAAAUAACAAACAAUCUUGAAAAAAAUAAGACUGAAAGAAAGUCCACUUCCAUAAGUAGAUGGGGGUGAAGUGGUAAUUAUAUACAGAACAAAAAGAGAAAACAAUUUAAAUCAAUCUCAGAGGAGUUCCUGCCAUGGCUAGGCAGUUAAUGAACCCGACUAGUGUCCAUGAGGACACUGGUUUGAUCCCCGGCCUUGCUCAGUGGGUUAAGGAUCCUGUGUCGCACUGAGCUGUGUGGUGUGGUGUACUCAGAUCCCGCACUGCAACCCCUAGCCUGGGAACCUCCAUAACCCGCGGGUGCAGACCCAAAAAGACAAUCAAUCAAUAACUCAGAGGAUAAAACUCAGAAUUUGCUACUGGUCUAAAACUGAGAUUGAAGGAAAAAGUGAAAGGAAGUAAAUAAAGGGAGCUAAGAAGGAGAAGAUAGAGCCAACAAAGAAGCAGGCUAACUCAGUUUGUACUUCUGUUUUAUAAGCAAUACCAUAUUAUAAGCAGAAGUUUGAAAUAGUGCUGUGAAUACACACAGGCUGUUUCCACUAGCCCAUGUCCAUAAGCAAACUCCAUGUACCUUAAAAUUUCAAGCCUAUGUUUAAACUUUCCCUGACCUCUCUAGGCAGAGUGAGGCUCUUCCCCCUAAAGCUAGGCAAAUUCUGGACAUAUCAUAAUUAGCAUUUAUCACAUCAUAUUUCAUGAACUUAUUUCCAUGUCUGCUUCUCCUACUAGACAGUAAGCUCUUUAAGAAAAGGAUAGUAUAUAUUAUUUCAGGCAUCCUUUCAGAACCUAGAACAAAGUAGGUGCUCAGGAAAUACUUGCUGAAUAAAUGAACAAUUUUAAGAAAUGGUGGCUACAAUAGGCAGUACAGACAAGACAGUGGAGAAAUAAAAUACAGUAAAACCAAUGAGGAAACUACUACAAAAUUCCAGGUAAGAACUAAUAAGGAGCAGACUGAAGGCAAUGACUGGAAAAUAAGAAAACCGAUGCAGGAAGUUCCCAUGUGGUGCAGAGGGUUAAGGAUCCCGCGUUGCAGCUGUGGCUCAGGUUCAACCCCUGGCCUGGGAACUUCCACAUGCCACAGGGGAUACCAAAAAAAGAAAACUGAAACAAAGACUACAGGAUGAUUAUUUGAGAGAAGUAGAAGAUGAUUACAAGAUUCUUGGAGUUCCCGUCGUGGUUCAGUGGUUAACGAAUCCGACUAGGAAUGAUGAGGUUGCAGGUUCCAUCCCUGGCCUUGCUCAGUGGUUUAAGGAUCCGGUGUUGCUGUGAGCUGUGGUGUAGGUUGCAGAUGUGGCUCAGAUCCCGCGUUGCUGUGGCUCUAGCGUAGGCCGGUGGCUACAGCUCCGAUUAGACCCCUAGCCUGGGAACCUCCAUAUGCCGUAGGUUAAGACCUAGAAAAGACAAAAGAAAAAAAAGAUCUGAAGCCUUGUUCCUGGAAAGUCAAUUACUUAAAUAUUUACUGAGAAUUUACCUAGUAUGAUAUAGUAUUCUAGGCACUAGGAAUCCAAAGAUAAGAAAAAUAUACAAAAUAUCUGUCCUCAUAAUAACAGAGGGAAAAAACAGAGAUUAAUUUGGAAUAACUUAACUUUGGAAAAAUUAAGUUUGGAAUAGAAGGCAACUGGAGGUAUUAUGGCCGAAGUUCUAGAAAGAAGUCAAGGCCAGAGAAUAUCUGAGCACCAUGUAUAGAUCAUGCUUUACGGGUUUACAAAAUCAAUAAAGAAAGUGUGUAGGGUGAGUUAGGAUAUCAAGACUCAACUCUGAACUCUGAGAAAUAUCUGUAUUAGUAUGGCAGCAGGAGGGAAUCAGGAAAGAAAACAGAAGCAGGUCAACAAAGGGAAAAAAUAUAUAUAUUUUUUUAACUAGAAAAAAAUGUCUAAAGAUGAAGGGGUUACAUAUUGUGCUAGUUACUUUAGAAGUGCACAACACUGGUACAAAAUGGCCUCAGGAAAUACUCCCCUGGAUUUGACACAAUGAUCUUUCAGAAAGACAUUCUGGAGAAUAACAGGAAUGAACACAAAAUUAUAAGGUAAGAGAAAAAAGGUGGAAAGGAGACAGAGAAGAAAGGGAGCAAUGUAGAGGAAGAAAGGAAGGGUACAAGAAAAAAAGAGUAUCUUCGAUUGUUAGCAGUGGUUCUAGAAAGAUAUACUGAUAUAUAGCUGCUCCUCUGAGGUUAAACAGUGUCAAAGAAAUUAUUUGACAUUUAUCUUUGUAAAAUUUCAAUUAUACACACCUUAUUAUGGUGGAAUGGAUACACCGAAAAUGAGAAAAUAAUAACUUUAAAAAAAAAUUUAUAAAAGUGACCAUGUCGAAUCCAUUUAUACACAGCAUAUAAAUGUAUAUAAUAUGCAUAUUAUAUUAAUUUCAAAUAGUAUUAUAUUUACAUUUCUGUGUCCAUAGUGAAUGGUAAGUAAAACACAAUACUAAGUAGUUUACACAACCACUGAAUACGUUAAAAAAAAUGGUCAUUAAUUAAAAGAAACGUAUCAGUAAUUUUUUAAACCAUAUGAACAGCUGCAGAAAGAAAUAAAUAAACAAAGAAAUCAUCACUCUUCCCUCUGUUAUCAGAUGUAAAUAAACGUUCAUAAGAUGAAACCAAUAAGGACUGUAGUAAAAAUAUUUAAGAUCUUUUCAACAAAAAGGAAAGAAGAGCAAAGCAUUGACUGAUUUGAAGAGUAAGGGUAGAAGCCGUAGCCAUUUUUCAAAUGACCUGGGAAGCAACAGAUGGGUACUGGCCAUUUUCAUGAUUUUUCUUAAAAAUCCAGUAUGUAGCAAUAUGUUCAGAGUCAGAGAAAUAAAAUCAAACCACUAAUAGAAUCCCUACAUGCCCAUAUUUAUUAAAAGCUGUUUUUUCCUCCUGGAGCUUUACCCCAAGUUUAAGGUCGGAUUAGAAGGAAAAUAAGAUUUUGAGGAGUCUGACAACUGCAAAAGGCAGGCUUCCCACAACCAGUACCUCUUACAACCAGCAGAUGGUGCCCUCCAUAAAUACAACCCUUCUAAUACACAGUCACUACACAGAAUAAGAAGCUAGGUUGGCCACGGACAGCUAAAAAGCUAAUGAGAAUGUGUUCUAAGAGAAAAGAGACAAAAUAAAUUAUAUUAUUCUUCCCUAAGCAUAUAACCUUAAGACCCCUUUACAUAUUACCCAACUAUUAAAACAAAAAACUCCUUUUUUCAUAUACAAUGUUACCACUAAUUAAUAAAGAUAAUUCAGCUUGAAUUGAUGAUUACCACUAAUUACAAAGAUAAUUAUUACCAAUGUUACCACUAAUUAAUAAAGAUAAUUCAAGCUGAAUUAUCUUUAUUAAUUCAAAUUAAGUAUAUUUCAUAAUUAUCCCUAUAUGUUUUGGUAAUACAAAGUAAUUUUAAAUGCUUUAGGAAGUCCUUUAAGAAAGCAGGCAGGCCCAUUUUGUUCAUAUUUUUGGUAAUAUUUAUUUAAAAACAUUAAACAUAUGGUUACUCUCUUGCCUACAUUCUUUUUAAGGACCACCAAUGUUACAGACAGGAAUAGAAUUAAACUGGUUCAGACAGCAAGGAGUCCCAGGCCCUAAAACACUCGAACUAGCAGCAAUUUCUAAGUAGUAACAGAGAGUGUUCUAUUAAAUCCCUUUAAAGCAAUAUUUUCUAUUAAUACUGACAAUACCUCUCAUUUACUGAAUAACUGGCGUUUUUUUAGUUAGUAGUUUAGUGUUCCAAUCAGUGGAGGAGAUAAAAUUAUGUCCUUUUCUCUAUUCACAUCAAACCUCAAGCACAUCUUCUUGGCUCUCAGUAGACUGCCUCUACUUCACUGAGAAAACAAAAUUUCCCCAGUCUCCAUUACUAAACCUAUUGUACCUAUUUCCUGCUUCUUUCCUACUUCUUUCCUAUUUCCCUACUUUUUUUCCAGAAAGUAUGUAGCCCUCCUCACAUCAAAAACUAAUCCCUCCACAGGUGCACAGAAUCCAUCCUCUACAAGCUGCUAGAGACCUUCAUGUUCUCUCCUCUUUCCUCGGCAUCAGCGUCCUCUACAUCUACUAGGUCUUUUCCCUCAGUAUUCAGUAUAAGUAGCUCUGUUCCUGAGUGAAAGGAAGGCAUUCAGGCAGGAAAGCAAGGAAAUACACAUCUGCUUAGACUGCAAAUAUCCUUCUAGCUGUCUUCCCUCUCAAAUUACCUUCACAGCCAAGCUUCUCAAAAAGUUAAUCUAUACUUUUGCUUAGAGCAUUUCCUGUUCAUACCAAUCCAAUCUUGUUUCCAGCAUCCUCCAUUACCAGUAAUAAGCUUUUGCCAUCAUCAUUGUGGCAGACUUCAAAAAUGACAACAGAUGUUUCCCUUCCCUGAAUCUAUACCCUUGCAAUGUGACUUUGCGGCUCCUCUGGGCAAGUGUUUUUCCAGCUCUUGAAUCUGAGAUGGUCUUAAGACUUGCUCUGGCCAUUGGGAUACCGGCAAGCUUAAAAAGCGCUUGUGCUUUGGAAUUAAUUGACUUGCUGCUCUUGGAACUCUGCUCCCAGUGCAAGCCCAAAAGUUAUCCCACUGGAAAACGAGAGCGAGAGAGAGCAAGCCAGCCCAGAGAGUCCAGCCAUGAGCAUCAUGAACAAAGCCACCCCCAGACAAACCAUCCAGUGAUCACAUAUACAUAUCUGAAGAUGUAUGAGCAAGCCCAAGUGAAUCACCUAAGGCUGACCCAGAUCAACAGAACUACCCAGCUAAGCCAAACUCAAGCUGCAAACCUAAAAAACUGGGAGCUUAAUAAAUGAUGGUGGUUGCAAGCCAUUAAGUUUUGGGUGAUUUGCUAUGCAGUACAAGCUAACUAAAAGUCAUCAUUGUCCUCCAUGUUGCCAAAUCAAAGGAACACUUUUCUAAUCCUAAUUUUAUUGAUCUCAGAAGAAUGACACACAGUUGAUGACAACCUCUUUCUGAAAACACUCUUUUCCUCUGGUUUCCACUAUACUUUACCUUUUCCUGAUUUUUCUCCUACCUUACAGGUCACUGUCUCCUUUGUUUCCUUCUCCUCUAUCCAACCUCUAAACAUCAGUAAUUCAUCAGAGCUUAAUCCUGGCCCUUCUAUUCUUUUUAGUCUAUACGUUUUUAUCCCAAGGCUUCUGCCUUAAGCUUUCUUAAAGCUACUCCAAAGACUUUAAAAUAAUAAACACAUACCUCACCAAGAGCUCUCUUUUGAACUCUAGUCCUCACACACAACUGCCAACUUAACAUUUCCACUUGAGUAUUCUCAAAGGCAUCUCGAACUUUAAAAAAACCCCAAAACCAAACAACAAACUAUCUCCCAACUUCUUUCCCUUCUAAAGAAACCUUCCUUCUUGGAUCUUCUCUCUGUGUAUGAUGUCUUACUGUAUCCAACUUGUUACUCCCAGAAAACUGGGUGUGACCCUAGAUAAUUCUCUCUCAACACUUAAAAGCAAUCAAGUCCUAUAAAUGUUACCUGCAAAACAAAUAAAAUUCACCUUCAAUUGGCCAUUACUUCACCAUAACUUAAUCUAAACCACCUCCAAUUCAUUCUUCAUACAGUAGCCAGAAUGAUCUUAACAUGCUAAUCUCUUCAUGUCAUUGCCUUACUCUUAAAGAGGUUCUCAUUGACCUUAAAAUAAGUUCUACAUAUAUUAAUCAGACCACUUUCUCACUGCACUCCAGUCACAGAUCUAUUCCUUAAACUCAUCAAACCAAGAUCCUUCUAAGUGUGUGCUAUUCUUUUGGCUUCAAAAACUUUUUUCCUCCUCUGUUACUGCUUCCUUUCAUGCCUGAAGUCUCAUAUGUCAAUUCCUCAGGGACACCUUCCCAAAUCUGCCCAAGCUAAAUUAAAUAAAUCUCUAUUAUAUGCUUUCAUACCAGUCCAUCCUUUUCCUUCAAAGAAUUCAUCAUAAUUAUAAACAUUUAUCACCUAAUAUCUUCUAAACUGCAAGAACAAAUAUCCUAUUUUCUUCACUGCUCUACACCUAAUGCAUAGCAAAACAAUGGGCAAAAGGUAGGAGCUGAAGAAAUAUUCUUAAGUAUGGGAUGAAUUAUAUAAUAUACCCAUUUUAUAAAUGAGGAGACUGAGGAUCAGAGAAAUUAACUAUGCUGACACUAUCGAGCAACUAAACUGGAAAUAAUCUAGUCCAUAUCUUUAUUUCCAAGGUCUAUUCCCUUGGUCUAAUGAUAAAGCACACUAAAUCUUCAGAGCACAAUGAAUCCCCUAAUACUCAAGCCCAAACACCUACACGCAAAAAAAGUACCAUGGGAAUUUUUACAGAGUUGAGAACAAUGCAUCCUAAAAAGUGUAAACAAUCC
RNAcentral lists this long non-coding RNA (8392 nucleotides) under Sus scrofa (pig). RNAcentral's name for it is "lncRNA (ENSSSCG00015067275.1)". The record is from RNAcentral. Lineage: Eukaryota; Metazoa; Chordata; Mammalia; Artiodactyla; Suidae.